Molecule: ribosomal RNA, 434 nt
Filed under: uncultured Lachnospiraceae bacterium
Lineage: Bacteria; Bacillati; Bacillota; Clostridia; Lachnospirales; Lachnospiraceae
Description: partial 16S ribosomal RNA
Rfam family: Bacterial small subunit ribosomal RNA
Source: RNAcentral
ACGGGAGGCAGCAGUGGGGAGUAUUGGACAAUGGGGGAAACCCUGAUCCAGCGACGCCGCGUGAGUGAAGAAGUAUUUCGGUAUGUAAAGCUCUAUCAGCAAGGAAGAAAAUGACGGUACUUGACUAAGAAGCUCCGGCUAAAUACGUGCCAGCAGCCGCGGUAAUACGUAUGGAGCAAGCGUUAUCCGGAUUUACUGGGUGUAAAGGGAGCGUAGACGGUUUGGCAAGUCUGAAGUGAAAUGCGGGGGCUCAACUCCCGAACUGCUUUGGAAACUGUCGAACUAGAGUGCAGGAGAGGUAAGUGGAAUUCCUAGUGUAGCGGUGAAAUGCGUAGAUAUUAGGAGGAACACCAGUGGCGAAGGCGGCUUACUGGACUGUAACUGACGUUGAGGCUCGAAAGCGUGGGGAGCGAACAGGAUUAGAUACCCUGGUA